Molecule: ribosomal RNA, 253 nt
Filed under: uncultured prokaryote
Description: partial 16S ribosomal RNA
Rfam family: Bacterial small subunit ribosomal RNA
Source: RNAcentral
ACGUAGGGUGCAAGCGUUGUCCGGAAUUAUUGGGCGUAAAGAGCUCGUAGGCGGUGUGUCGCGUCUGCCGUGAAAACCUGCGGCUUAACCGUGGGCGUGCGGUGGAUACGGGCACACUUGAGUUCGGUAGGGGAGACUGGAAUUCCUGGUGUAGCGGUGGAAUGCGCAGAUAUCAGGAGGAACACCAGUGGCGAAGGCGGGUCUCUGGGCCGAAACUGACGCUGAGGAGCGAAAGCGUGGGGAGCGAACAGGA